This 213-nucleotide long non-coding RNA is filed under the name Gossypium barbadense (sea-island cotton). Its description in RNAcentral is "long non-coding RNA (GBAR_LNC011748)". The record is from RNAcentral. Lineage: Eukaryota; Viridiplantae; Streptophyta; Magnoliopsida; Malvales; Malvaceae.
CAUGACCCGGUUCAUUUCCGUUCCCAAUUACUCUGAAUCAACCGCCGAUCUAUAGGCCACCGUCGCAAGAUGCGCCGUCGGGGAGGACUUCUUUUUACCAAUCCCCAUCGCCUUAUGGGAUUCAAAUACCUCCGCCAUAGGUAAUGCAAACACCUCCGCAGUCAUUAUUCUAUCAAGGUGGCUCAUCCUCCCAACACCCACAACUAGAUCUCC